Chionomys nivalis (European snow vole) is the source of this 1210-nucleotide long non-coding RNA. RefSeq lists it as uncharacterized. The transcript is spliced from 8 exons. Lineage: Eukaryota; Metazoa; Chordata; Mammalia; Rodentia; Cricetidae. The record is from RefSeq and is a predicted model, not a curated record.
GCGCCGCGGUGUGGGUUGACGUGGCUGAGAUGUGGCUUCCCGCACUGCCCGACUGGGGAUCCGUUUCUAGUCUGGAGGGAGUGGACCGACCGCGCGGGAUCCUGUCAAGUUCUGCAGAGUGUCAUUGACGAUGGUGGUUACAACCGACUUGCUUUGGAAGUGGACUUGGGACAAGAGCAUUGGGAGUGUUCGGGGCAACGAAAUUGAAGUCUGUCUUGCUCAAGACAUCUGCCCAGCACCUCAGCUCCUGGGUGGAAGCCCAUAACGCCAGGAUGCAUCUGGUUCCGAUGUACCUGCCAGGUUGCCAGGGUGAUAUGGGCAUCGAUGCCUAGGCUGUGUGGCCCACCCUUGACCUGCUUGGGAUUAACAGGUCCUCUCUCAGCAGCACUAAAGCUUUUGAUUAUUUCGGAGCUCUGGGUGGCCUCUUCCCUUCCGUGAAGCCCAUGGACGACCUCCUCACUUCUGUUAUGUCAGAGUUAAUUGCCCCAGCAGUGGGGUGUCACUCAUGGUGGGAUGGCCAAAAAAUACUGCAGGCAAGGACAGUAUCCUCAGCAGGCAACAGAGUUGUAUCCUCACCACCUACCUUGUGGUGUAAGGAAUAACAUCUGUGGAGUUUUUGUACCUGCUCCUGGCCUUGAACUCGAGCUCUAAAGGCCUCAUUAUCUGCUUGUUGUGCGCUGAACUGCUUUGUGGUUCCUAAAGUGAUGCUGCAGCUACCGACUUGGAGAUUUCAAUCCUGCAAGUCUCUCGCUGCGCUGCGAAAGCAAUAGCCAAGUAAUGGGCUUAAUGGCCUAUGUCGUCUCUGUGGUCCAUCUCAUGGCCUUUCUACCUGCACACCACACAGUCACUUGGAGAAAAAUCAAGUGUAUGUACCUCUCCCUGCAGAUGGUCUAUCUGUAAAGGUGGGUUUUUCAGACUUGAAAAUGUAAAUGAAAAGCUAACCCCUUCCCUGCCAGCCCAUUUCUGGAGUCCUGAGAGCCUGCCAGGUUGGCUUCUGCUCAAAGAGUGUGCAAAGUUCAAGCCAAUGAUCCGGGAUCCACCUUCUGCUGAGAGCCUGUCCUUGGGGGGGCACAUCAUUCCUGAGCUCCUGGAUGUGCUUCAACAAAAUAUCACUUGUUCAUUAAAAAGAAAACAAAGAAAGAAAAAAAGAAAGAAAGAAAGAAAGAAAGAAAGAAAGAAAGAAAGAAAGAAGAAUUAAAAGAUGCUUGUG